Long non-coding RNA from Nycticebus coucang (slow loris), 5422 nucleotides. RefSeq lists it as uncharacterized. The transcript is spliced from 3 exons. The record is from RefSeq and is a predicted model, not a curated record. NCBI's taxonomy places the organism in Eukaryota, Metazoa, Chordata, Mammalia, Primates, Lorisidae.
AAUCACCUCGUGGAGGCUCUGUUUCCAAAUAAGGUCAACAUCUGAGGUCUUGGGGGCUGGGGUUUCCACACACAGAUUUUGGGUACAUGUAGCCCCAAACAAGAUAAAGGUCAGGUGGGUCCAACUGCCUGGAAAUGUCCUCUUCCGCUGGCUCAAAGGUCACAUCAUAUCUCAGCGGGGUGGGGUGGGAGGAAGAGCCAGCAUUUGUCCUCAGGUUGGUGGCCCUGUGAGGGCACAGAACAAAUCCCACACCUCCCAGAUCUUCUGUUCCUCAGGUGGUGGGAAUGCCGACCCUCGGAUGGUCCUGCAUUUGUGCAGAGGCACAGGGACUGCCUGGGCUGGUGGGGUCGCCCAGCAGAAAGAGGGGCUGCCAUUGGCCCCCGGGGGGACUGGGCUGCUCACAAAGCCCCCCCAGUGGCUGCAGGGAGUCUGGCCACCCUCCCCUCCAGCUUCCUGCUCUCAUGAAGACAGCCUUCAGCCAGAGGAGAGACCAGCUCUGUGUCCUUAUUGUCAAGCCAAAUUGAAAUGAGCACAGCUGGUGGCGAGGUAUAGCCCCACAAGAGGCACUCAGAAACCCUCUGGCAGAAGGACCAGCAGCUGACAUGGGUGCGUUCUCUCCCUGAAAACUGUUCGAGAGCCCAAACACUGCUCACAGUCUGAGGUCCUUCUGGCCCCUGGGCUGGCCGUCAGGAGCUCUGCCUACAGCCCUUCCUGCUGGGCUCCAGCCCUGGCCUGGCCACUCGCUAGUACUGUGACCUCCAAACAGGUCCCUGCCCCUCACUGCCCAGCUUCCUUGUUUCUGGAGACCCCAGGGUCCCUCUGGCCCUGUCCGUGUCCAGUUCUAGGCCCAGUGUGGCCCUGCUUGGGGGGUAGAUGAAGUCGUGGGGCCAUCUGUUGUCAAGGAAGAGGCCAGUGGGACCAGGGAGCCCCGGGAUACACUUCCAGAGAUUCCCAGGCUGAGCUCUGAGUGGCCCUGUCAAGACCCGAGGGGUUCUGUGCUUGUGUCCUGGGCAGGUGUUCCUGGGGAGCAGCCUGGGGUCUCGGUGGGAUUCAGACAGUGUCAGCGCCAGCUGGCACCAGAGCCUCAACACAGGACUGGGCAUCUGGGUUUCUCCAUGUCCACCCUCAGCCUAGUCUUUGCCCACCUCUGCCUAUGUUCUAGCAUGAUCUGGUGGGGUGCCUGCCCGCUAACCCCCCACAUUCCCUUCACUUCUUGCCAUCCCUGGAGUGAGUGGUCUGCCUGGCUGAGACACUCUCAGCUGUCACCUUACCUGGCCUCCACCCACAGCCUACUGGUGACUCACAGCUCUGUCCUCCCCCAGAGACAGUGGGCGGCUUUGCACCCUGGGGUGCCGAGAUCCUAUCCUUUAAAUGGCUUGCACCUGUAGUGGCCUCCCACCUCCCAGCCUUCCAACCCCCCCAGCUCUGGCCAAGGGCCGAGGUUACUGCUAUGGUCGUCCCCCAGGGUCUCACUCCAAACCCUGCUUUCUCCUAAAAGGGAGGCCCUCCCCUCCUCACCCCAUGUUGCCCCAUGGGGCUUAGGGACCAUCUCCCAGACGUGCCAGGACAGAGAUAGCAGCAGUGACAAGUGGAAACAGACAGGAGACUGCAGCUUCCAGCCAUCCAAAGAGACUGCUUCGGAGGGAGACAGGUGCCCCCACAAGCCCAGCUCUCAAGGGGCAGAAUGCGGGGCCUUCCUUCCUCACACAGGGCAUGGCUGGCGUGGACAGGCCCCUUCCUAAGGACUGUCAACAGUCCAGAGAGCCAGAUGGCCCUGCAGGGGACUGAGGGUAAGGUAGAUGCCCUGACCCAGUGGCAAAUGUCCAAGUCCAGGGGAGGGUGGCUGGUCUGUUUGAGUAAACAGACCUGGGAGGAGCCACACUGCACCCAGGGCUGACCUGGAGCCGGCCUCGCUGGGCCCUGCUCCAAUCUGCAGGGCAUGUUAGCGGAACACCUAGUGGGAUCAUGUGGGGGCAGCUUGGACUUCCGAUCAGCAGUUGUGACCUCCAAGGUGGCCGCUCUCCUCCAGCCUGAGUCACCAGGACAAAGACCCUGGUUGAUUAAUGUGCAGCCAGCCCCAAGCCCCAGAGGAAUGGGUGGCACACACCCAUGUGAAAACCACAUGCUCACUCUGCAUGGGCUCCGAGUAAGGACCACGUGCUGCUCUGGGCAGAGGGGCUCCUCUCUCUAGGCCUCUGACCUCUGCCUGCCACCACUGGGCAGGCCUCAGAGUAGGAGGGCCCAGCCAGUAGGCCGAUUGCCUCCUGGUUUGGGUCUUGACUCAGGCUCCUGGGAACAGCCCUGCCAAGCUGUAGACCUGGGGCCAACCUGCGCCCCCCAACCCGAGAUGGCUGCCCAGGAACUGGGAACUGAGGCACAGCCUGCCACUGCAACCCGCCACCCUCCUCACUGCCUCCAGCCUGAUGUGGGCGGCCAGCACACUCUUGCUUUUGAGUGCGUCUUUGCCACGUGCGUUUGGAUCCCUGAACAAUAACGUGUAGUUUUAUGUGAUUUUGAGCUUUAUACAAAUUGAAGCAUGUGGCACGAGGCGUCCUGCGAUUGGCUCUUUCCCACUCAGUGUCACCUUUCUAGGAUGACACACGUGGCUGCAGGUGACAGCAGCUGCGUAACACUCUGUCCCACCCCCACGACCACACAUGGAGCCCCAGAGCCCUGCACAGUGGCUGGGGCAGCCUUCUGCAGGUGCCCUGGCAUGUGUGGGGUCUGCAGGAGGCAAACCUGAGCAGCACCAGCCCCCUCUUCUGCCUCCAUUGUUCAUUUAAUUGGGGGCGGGGGCAGGAACAGAGCAGCGCUCAGGCAAACAGGUGGCCACAGUGAGUGCUGCUGCUCUGUGUGGGUCUCAGCUCUGUACACAUUUGAGCACUGUCCCCAUCCCUGCAAGACAGCGGGUACCUGUGCUCUGGUGGCACCUCCACCACUAGGGUCAGUGGGCGUGAUGUGGGCAGUGAGGCCUCGCAGGGGUGUCUGUGCAGUGGGCAUGGGGCCAGAGGAGCCACAAGAGGGCCUGGAACAAGGCCCCUCCACCAUCCAGGGGAAGGACCUCUUUCAUUUACCAGCCCAUUGAUACUUCGUAAGACAUGAUGAAAGGAACAACUAGAAAGAUGAAAUGGAAAGCAAAGAGAAUACAGCCCAGGUAUGGCUUUUUAUUAUUACAUUCAAGGAUUGUCGACUCACUCCAGCUGAGAGGAUGGAGGUCCAACUUAGUGCCGGUGUCUGUCCAGCUGCGGAGGGGGAUGGGACAGAGGAGACCCUGCUCCAUCUCCAAGGAAGGAACAAGCACCGUACCCAGCUUGGGCUCCCAGGACUCUGUAGGUUCUCCAAAGUCCCUCGGGGUGGUGUGUAGGGAGAGCUGGCACAGAGGGGCCCAGCUGGCCCAGGGCCAGUGCUGACCAGUCACUGGGAUCUGGUGUCUGCAGCUGAGUCCAGGUCACAGGCACAUUGUUGGGGGGUGGGCUUCAACUGCAUACUGUAUGGAGAUGAGCAUCAUCCCCCCAAAUUCACGUCGACUCAUAACCUUGGACUAUGAUGAGAUGAAGUUAAGAUGAGGUCAUCUUAGGGCAGGCCCUAAUCCAAUGGCUGGCACCCUUCAUAGAAGAGGGAAUUCAGAGUCCCAGGCACAGGGAGACGGUCGCAUUUCCACAGAGGCAGUAGAUGGAACAAUGCAGCCAGGGCCAAUGAUGCCUGGGGCCGUUAGACCCUGGGAGAGGCAGGAAGGACCCUCCCCCAGCAGCCCUGCGGCACCUGCUGCUGUGAGCCUAGUGGGUGGCCACCUGUGACACAGCCCUGGGAAACCGCCACAGACCUGCUGACUGCCAGCGCUGCUCUGCCCACCAGCUGGAAUCAGAAAGACUGGCAAGCCGAACGCAGCCACCAGAAUCCUCACAUCCUGUGUGUGGGAGGUGAACUGACGCCACCACUCUGGGAAGCUGUCUGGAAUGAUUCAGCCAAGCUGGACACGGACCCUAGGACCCAACAAUCCCGCCACCAAGUAUAGAUCCAACAGGAACGAGCGUGAAAGCCAAAAAAAAGACACGUGCAGAGUGCUCAGAGCAGUCUGCUCACACAACCAGAAAUCAUACACCGCCACUCAGCAGGAGAGGGGUCCACGGUGCCCACCCUCCCCACAUAGCCAUGGAGAGAAAGAUUCCCACUGCCCAGAGCACUGGGGUGACCCACAGUCGCAGCACUGAAGGUCAGAGGUCAGGAGAAAGGUUACCCCUGUGGGUGAUGACAGGGGUUCCCGGGGGCACGAGGGCUCUCUGUGGGUGCUAGGAAGCUCUGGAUGUCCAUCAUGGACACGUAGAGUGGCUGCCCAGGUGCAGACACAAGCAAGGAUACGUUCAGCGAGAGACUCAGAAUGUUUCAUUUACCGUAUGUAAGUUACACCAUGUACAGAAGUUAUUCUAAGAGUAUGCUUUUGCCAGGUCUAAACCUCCCCAGAGCAGGCUGUGGGCAUGGAAUGGCAGCCCAGGACCUGCUUGGGGCCUCCAGCUUUAUCCCCAGGGGCAGAGCCCAGGAGGUGAAGCCUGUUGGAGCAGGUCCACCCACUAUGCAGGUGUCCCCUGUGUGUGCAGUGAGUCCCUGAACUGAGGCUCAGGGCUUUAGGCACUCACAGCCCGUAUGGUCUCAGAGGCCAGUAACCACUUAGUCCAACCAGCCAAGGAGGUGGACAUGGGAGGGAGAGGGGAGGCCGAAGAGGGACCCUCCAGACGCCCCAGCCCUUCUGCCUGGAACUGUGAAAGGGAAAAAGCCCCCAGGCAAGGUGGCCAGGACAGGCAGGAUUUACUCAGGCAGAGAAGUGGAGGAAGGUAGUGAUGGGCCAGAUCAACACGACCUGGGACAUCAAAUCCAGGUGCCCCGGGGAUUAUGGCAAGAGGUAGGCCCUGAUGGGGACAGCACCACUCCAUGCCUGCUGGGAACCUGACAUAGGUGCCCCCUCUCUGGGACUCCAUUUCUCUGUCUUUAAAAUGGAGGAAGAAGUGGCACCUGCCUCCAAAUUGUAGCAAAAAGGAAAUUAUAGCAGCUGCGUGAAGCACCUGGCCCAGGGCACGUGCCAUUGUGCUCAUGUCCUUUCACAAGCAGGGAAGCCACACAUCUUACAGAAUGGCCUGCGGCUGGCUCACCAUAUAGCCAGACAAAUGAGCCAGCCUUUGACAAGCCAUUGGGUUUCUUCUUAUGCUACCAGCCUGGACAGAGCCACAAGCCCUCAGUCUCUGAGAGCUGAUAACGGAGACCUUGGAGCAGCUUCCUGAGGAAGCUCAGGCGCCUGGCGGAGUUUCCAGGCGGGUCUGCAGGAUGCCUUUCUCCUCCAGGGCCUUGGGACAGCCUGGGCUCCAUAAAUGGUCAAAUAAAGCCCAGCGGCCUCGGCGUUAUCAGCUCUGGGUUCAGUGUCUCUUACCCA